UAAGAAGGUCAUGGUCUAGGACACUGAGGAUAUAAAUUGAGAGCCGGGAAAGAGAAGGUCUGAAAUACUCCAGUCUGACCCGGAAGGAGCCACAGCCCAGGAAGAGAUCUCCCUGCAGACAGAGCUUCUACAGUAGAACAACUAAAUUUAACAGCUCCAUUGAGACAACUGAAAAGGAAAACAAACAAACAAACAAAAAAAAAUCCACAGACAUCCUACACACAACAUUUUCUAUUUUAGAAUCAAGGCCUCCUCGAAAAGAGACACCCCCUUUGAAAUAACAACUCACCUGUGAAGAAAAUAUCAACUGACCUUCUGGUGAUGCAGCCAAAUCUGAUUGACAUGUUUGUUGGCUCCCUAUUUUGAGAUAGAGAAAGGCUGAGACAAGGCUUACUCAAAAUCCUGAAACUCACCAGUAUUUGAUCCUAGUGAGGAGCACAAAAGCUGUGAAGAUAUGUUUCAGAGUAAGCAUUAUUCCAUCAGGGACUUUGGCAAGCUGAUCUGGUUGUCAGAUCUCCAUAUAUAGUAGUAAAUCCAGACAGACCACCCAAAAGCAUCAUAUUCUCUCCAGUACAGUG
Molecule: long non-coding RNA, 578 nt
Organism: Meriones unguiculatus (Mongolian gerbil)
Lineage: Eukaryota; Metazoa; Chordata; Mammalia; Rodentia; Muridae
Exons: 3
Source: RefSeq, a predicted model, not a curated record